This 70-nucleotide transfer RNA is filed under the name Channa striata (snakehead murrel). RNAcentral describes it as "tRNA-Ile". It matches the Rfam family "tRNA". Rfam says of the family: Transfer RNA (tRNA) molecules are approximately 80 nucleotides in length. Their secondary structure includes four short double-helical elements and three loops (D, anti-codon, and T loops). Lineage: Eukaryota; Metazoa; Chordata; Actinopteri; Anabantiformes; Channidae. The record is from RNAcentral.
GGGGCUGUGCCUGAAAUAAAGGGUCAAUCUGAUAAAAUGAACAAUGAGGGUUAAAGUCCCUCCAGCCCCU